CUUCCCCGUUGAUUUUAUCGUCUCUUCGAAGCUUGCUAAUGACUCCUACUGUCCUUUUACAGGAGGCAUGAACUAAAUGUGAACCGCUAACUAUGUCGUCCGACCUGUAUAAUCCCAGGCCCGAUUUGGUCACUAGCGGAAGCAUCAACCUUGAUCUACCAACUACAGCGCACAGUCGGUGAUAUAUGAUUGUGGCACAACAAUCAUAGGUGUCAAUAGUAUCCAUAGGCCAACAGAUAGAAGGGUCAAUGUAUAACAGAGACGGUCAAAUAAAGCUCAACUUGCUACAGGUUUAGUCCGUUCGUGGCUGGCUGUAUGCAGGGUUAUUUUCGCGCCAAUGAUUUGCAGGAGUGAUAGAGACCCAUAUCACAAACUUAUGAGAGAACUAGACAUAUCGAUAUUGAUGGAAAAACUUACAAAAUUUUGCGAAAGCGAGGACAAAAGUGAGAUCUCUGAUACUAUUGCAGGCCGAAGGACGCAGCCAGCCACGUACGAUGGCUAUGGCCCAUCAGUUAUACCCUUUUCUGAGAGCUUCCCAGA
RNAcentral lists this small RNA (540 nucleotides) under Histoplasma capsulatum. RNAcentral describes it as "hypothetical RNA". The record is from RNAcentral. Lineage: Eukaryota; Fungi; Ascomycota; Eurotiomycetes; Onygenales; Ajellomycetaceae. RNAcentral also lists the same sequence under 1 other name.